GAUCCAUUGGUCUAGUGGCUAUGACGUCUCGUUUACACCGAGAAGGUCCCCAGUUCAAUCCUGGGAUGGAUUA
Seminavis robusta is the source of this 73-nucleotide non-coding RNA. Lineage: Eukaryota; Bacillariophyta; Bacillariophyceae; Naviculales; Naviculaceae. The record is from the annotation of a GenBank genome assembly.